AUUGAACGCUGGCGGCAUGCUUUACACAUGCAAGUCGAACGGUAACAGGUUAAGCUGACGAGUGGCGAACGGGUGAGUAAUGCAUCGGAACGUGCCCGGUCGUGGGGGAUAACACUUCGAAAGAAGUGCUAAUACCGCAUACGAUCUGAGGAUGAAAGCGGGGGACCGUAAGGCCUCGCGCGAUCGGAGCGGCCGAGGUCAGAUUAGGUAGUUGGUGGGGUAAAGGCCUACCAAGCCGACGAUCUGUAGCUGGUCUGAGAGGACGACCAGCCACACUGGGACUGAGACACGGCCCAGACUCCUACGAGAGGCAGCAGUGGGGAAUUUUGGACAAUGGGCGCAAGCCUGAUCCAGCAAUGCCGCGUGCAGGAAGAAGGCCUUCGGGUUGUAAACUGCUUUUGUACGGAGCGAAAAGGCUCUCUCUAAUACAGGGGGCUGAUGACGGUACCGUAAGAAUAAGCACCGGCUAACUACGUGCCAGCAGCCGCAGUAA
This 493-nucleotide ribosomal RNA is filed under the name uncultured bacterium. RNAcentral describes it as "partial 16S ribosomal RNA". It matches the Rfam family "Bacterial small subunit ribosomal RNA", at positions 30 to 523 of the family's 1533-position model. The record is from RNAcentral.